RNAcentral lists this ribosomal RNA (265 nucleotides) under uncultured bacterium. RNAcentral describes it as "partial small subunit ribosomal RNA". It matches the Rfam family "Bacterial small subunit ribosomal RNA", at positions 26 to 285 of the family's 1533-position model. The record is from RNAcentral.
AGGACGAACGCUGGCGGCGUGCUUAACACAUGCAAGUCGAACGGUGAUCUUGGGAGGUUGCUUCCGGGUGAUCAGUGGCGAACGGGUGAGUAACACGUGAGUAACCUGCCCUUCACUCUGGGAUAAACUCCGGGAAACCGGGGCUAAUACUGGAUAUGACUCGAACAGGCAUCUGUAUCGGGUGGAAAGAUUUAUCGGUGGGGGAUGGACUCGCGGCCUAUCAGCUUGUUGGUGAGGUAAUGGCUCACCAAGGCGACGACGGGUA